This is a transfer RNA of 74 nucleotides. It matches the Rfam family "tRNA". From Rfam's summary of the family: Transfer RNA (tRNA) molecules are approximately 80 nucleotides in length. Their secondary structure includes four short double-helical elements and three loops (D, anti-codon, and T loops). Further hydrogen bonds mediate the characteristic L-shaped molecular structure. tRNAs have two regions of fundamental functional importance: the anti-codon, which is responsible for specific mRNA codon recognition, and the 3' end, to which the tRNAs corresponding amino acid is attached (by aminoacyl-tRNA synthetases). tRNAs cope with the degeneracy of the genetic code in two manners: having more than one tRNA (with a specific anti-codon) for a particular amino acid; and 'wobble' base-pairing, i.e. permitting non-standard base-pairing at the 3rd anti-codon position. The record is from Rfam.
GCACCCGUAGCUCAGCUGGAUAGAGCGCUGCCCUCCGGAGGCAGAGGUCAGAGGUUCGAAUCCUCUCGGGUGCG